AAAAAAAAAUUAAAAAAUAAAAAGACAAAAAACAAAAGCAACAAGAAAAAGGAGUGUUUAUUUUAGGGAUUCAGGCAUUUUGUAGAACCCAAGGGUAGAAAUGUACCAUAAGCCCAGGAGGGCUAGUUUAAGAUGGGACAUGCACACUGGCCCCAUCAGCCGCCCUCUCACUCCCGCCUCUGCUUCUGCCUGGGUCUCCUCACCCUUUUCCUUCUACAGUCUGGCUCUGGCUCUGGCUCUGCGCAGGAGGGCAAAAGAUGCUUUCUCAGAUCUAAAGAGCUCUGAUCUGCAAUUCUAAAGCCCUGGGAGAAAGAAUCUGAUUUGCUCCUCUUGGGCCCCGCAGCUCUGGACAGGGAAUAAGGGUCCAUGCUCAGAGAAGGUGAAGUCUGGGUGGCUGGGCAGACCCCAGAGGUCAUGCCGGAGUGUUCUGGAAUGUGUCCAACUCCAGAUAUUGUCAGAACCCAUGUUCCGGAGGGAGGGUGCUGAGAGGUCUUCGUUUUUAACUUCCUCAUUCCGCCCUUUAAAGUAGAACAUUGGCUUCCACAUUUAUAAUUCUUCUGUGGAGUUAUUAAAUCCAUAAAUAAAGAUUUAAUCUUUUAAGCUCUGCAUCGUGAGAGCAGAAGAGCAGGCAGAGGAGAGCUGACCAGCCUUGGAGGCCAGGAUAGCAAAGGAGGAAGCGGCUGGGCUGCUGGGGCAGAGGAGCAGGCAAGGCUGCCGCGGUGGAGAGGAGCAAAGGGCAGAAGGACGGCCCCUGCCCUCUGGCUGAAGGAACAGAAGAGCCCUCCUGGGGCAGAAACCACCCUGCCGAGGCAGCCACAGAGAGGCUAGACCGCAGGCCCUAAGGAGACCUAUCCUGCAGGCUGGGAGGAAUACCAGGACAGUCUCAACAGCUCUCCAAACAGACAUGUUUUGACCUUGAGCAGCAUCCCGGGCUCAGACAUUGGCUCAGGUUCCUUGACGAAGACGGCGAGAGGAACACGGUUUUUCUGGCAGACAGAUGCAAGGACCAGCACGGGCAGGAGAGGAUACUGAGAACAAAGAGGACAGCUGGGAAGGGCUGAAGAGGUUAAAGACUACGUGCCUCCUCCAAACUUUCUCUUCCUGAUUGGAUGCUGAGAAGUCCAAGGCUCUGAUCCUUAACUCCCUGCCGCCCUACCAACCAGGAGCACCUGCACUGGGAACUUAUGUGAGUAAGAAAUAAACUUCUAUUAUGUUAAGCCAGGAAAACUAGGGCUAGUUACCAAAUAACUGAAGCAGGGCACCUAAAUCCAGUACCUCACAGAAAAAAAAAGAUGGAGGUAGUCAGGUUAAUAAUAAAACCCACAAACACAUCAAUGUAU
This is a long non-coding RNA of Sus scrofa (pig), 1340 nucleotides long. RefSeq lists it as uncharacterized. NCBI's taxonomy places the organism in Eukaryota, Metazoa, Chordata, Mammalia, Artiodactyla, Suidae. The record is from RefSeq and is a predicted model, not a curated record.